AUGGAAGAUCGGGUCAGCCUAGAUGGCUUCCCUACCGACCACGAGUUCUUGGAGGACUACGACCUCGAGGAAGAGGAUGAAAUGGACAUCGACGAUGAGCCUUUGUUCGAGGAGGAGCUCGCCAACCAAGCCACCGGGGCGAAAUCGAAGCGCAAGAGCAAGCGGACGAAGGCAUACCCGGCUCCCGAGGACAAGCUCCUUUGUGAGUGUUGGAGGGACAUUGGGAAAAACCCCAAGGUCGGCGCCGAACAAAAGGCAUCGACCUUUUGGAUUCGUGUUCAUCGUGAGUUCCAUGAGCGCAAGAAGUUUGCGCCGUACCAAAUGCAUAACAUGCGCGGGUGGGUAUUCAUUUCGAAGUGA
RNAcentral lists this ribosomal RNA (360 nucleotides) under Triticum aestivum (bread wheat). RNAcentral describes it as "partial small subunit ribosomal RNA". The record is from RNAcentral. Lineage: Eukaryota; Viridiplantae; Streptophyta; Magnoliopsida; Poales; Poaceae.